Molecule: transfer RNA, 72 nt
Filed under: Nannocystis pusilla
Lineage: Bacteria; Pseudomonadati; Myxococcota; Nannocystales; Nannocystaceae
Description: tRNA-Trp
Rfam family: tRNA
About the family: Transfer RNA (tRNA) molecules are approximately 80 nucleotides in length. Their secondary structure includes four short double-helical elements and three loops (D, anti-codon, and T loops).
Source: RNAcentral
AGGGGGGAGGUGUUGGCGGUGACAUACACGACUCCAAAUCAUGAGAACCGGGUUCGAAUCCCGGCCCCCCUG